This 196-nucleotide small RNA is filed under the name Apteryx owenii (little spotted kiwi). RNAcentral's name for it is "Vertebrate telomerase RNA (ENSAOWG00000015963.1)". Lineage: Eukaryota; Metazoa; Chordata; Aves; Apterygiformes; Apterygidae. The record is from RNAcentral.
GGAGGGCUCCGGCGUUUCUAACCCUAAAUGGCUCGCGCCGCACUCCCCGCGCUCGUCCGCUGUUUUACUCGCUGACUUUCAGCGGACGAGGGGAGUGGCCCCCCGUGGCGGGGGGGCAGGGAGAGGGGGCGACGGGGGGGGAGCAGGGCAGGGAGAGGGGGCCGGCAACCAAAAAACGUCAGCGAGGGGUCUCUCC